GUUGCACUUUGUAAAUACAGCUGUUUCUCAAACCACGCCUCUUUUGGGGAGAUAUAUAAUAUUCAUAGAUAUGUUAAUUUGUUAACGUACUGGUUCCCAUUUAUGAUUUCUGUGUUUCAUCUCAUAGAGACAUCACUUGGGAAUGUAACCAGUAUAGAAAAACAUGGUAGCGCCAAAAUUUUAAUUCUUAGGAGGUCCAAAUAUGGAGGUAAGGGUAGUAUAGAAUUUUAGUACAAGUUUAAACUCUUAGAAGUUCAGGGCAUAUACAUGUUGAAAAUAUGCCGCACAGCCCUAUAUUUUGACCUUUGAAUAAAAUAGUAGUGCAUAUAAACUUUCCGUUCUGGGAUAUUAUUUUUCACGAAACUUCAUAGUAAAAGUGUCACAGUUUCAGCCGCAAAGGGAGUUCCUAUGGGAAAUUGCAUUGUCUAUAUUUACAGAAUUGCAACCUAUAUAGGGUUAAAAAAUAGAACAUACAGAUUUUCACAAAAUCUGGUUUAUCUCAGAGAUUUUAAAGAAUUUAACUGAAAUAUGAAGUUUUAUAAAUAUUUCAUGAAGCUUGAGAAAAUCCUGAGCCUUAACUAUGAUGACUCAGCAUAAAUUCACAGUUUACAGUAUGCAUGGUUUACUUAAAGCCCUGAAUUCAAAAUAAAUUCAUAAUAUAUGCCUAUUUGUAAUUUAAAUUGUUUAGAAGUGCUUAUAUUUACUCUUCGCAGUCAUUGCAACUCAUUGAUCCUUCUUAAAUAUUUUUGUUGGGGUGUUUUUGUCCUGUCGAUAACCCAAAAGUAAGCCGUAACACCUAAAUGUGCUUUUUUGUGACCGGGACAUUAAAAAGUACAAGCUAGAAUUACAAAAGACCUCAAUAAAACUUACAACAGUGUGUUCUAUCCUAAAUAUAUACUAAAUAUUCCACAUUGCUAGAAACAGGGAAAAUAUUUAGGAAAUGUGAGGCCCCAGGGACAAAAAACAGAAAAAAAUGCCUACCCCUGGGUCAUAAAACAGAUAAUUUAACUUGUAAAUGCUAUGAUUUUAUUAUUUUCAAGGUCUUUUGUAAAGAAAACAAUAACUGUGCUGGGAAGUUAUGCAAAAAUAAGACGUAAGCAUCAUUUCUAUCAAACUUUUAGUGAAUUUAUGCACCAGACUGAUAUCUUCUUAAAUACAACUUUUGCAAAUUUGGCUUUGUUUAGACAAUUCUAGUUCAUAUAUUAACUAACUUAUGUUAGAUAUAUGGUUAGGGAUGAUACUGUUGAGACAAGAAUUCUUAACUGACCAUUUGAGACAGAAAUUAUGAACUUUCAUUGACAAAUAGGCAUUCAGUAAGAUGUGGACUGGAGACACAGGCAGGAUUGGAUACUUUGUAUAAUCUUGAAAGUUGGAAUGAUUAACUACUAAACAAUACACUUAUAGUAUAACAACAUGCUUUCAAUUUGUUAUCAGAAUAGUUUCAAACAGGUUUAAGACAGUUCAUGUCAGAAAACAUGCACAUAGGGUAAGCUAGCAAUAAUUAAAGUCUUGUUUUCAAAUUCUUUAAAAUAUUGAAACAGGGGUAGGGGUAUAAAAUGUACUGUAAAAGGAAACUUAGAGUAUAUGCAGUGAUUUCUUUAAGGCUAUAAUUCUGAUAAAUAAGUAUUGUUGUGAGAAAAAGUGUUUUUAGAGAGUUUUCUAUUUGAAUAAAUGUUUGUAUAGGUUGCACUUUGUAAAUACAACUGUUUCUCAAACCACGCCUCUUUUGGGGAGAUAUAUAAUAUUCAUAGAUAUGUUAAUUUGUUAACGUACUGGUUCCCAUUUAUGAUUUCUGUGUUUCAUCUCAUAGAGACAUCACUUGGGAAUGUAACCAGUAUAGAAAAACAUGGUAGCGCCAAAAUUUUAAUUCUUAGGAGGUCCAAAUAUGGAGGUAAGGGUAGUAUAGAAUUUUAGUACAAGUUUAAACUCUUAGAAGUUCAGGGCAUAUACAUGUUGAAAAUAUGCCGCACAGCCCUAUAUUUUGACCUUUGAAUAAAAUAGUAGUGCAUAUAAACUUUCCGUUCUGGGAUAUUAUUUUUCACGAAACUUCAUAGUAAAAGUGUCACAGUUUCAGCCGCAAAGGGAGUUCCUAUGGGAAAUUGCAUUGUCUAUAUUUACAGAAUUGCAACCUAUAUAGGGUUAAAAAAUAGAACAUACAGAUUUUCACAAAAUCUGGUUUAUCUCAGAGAUUUUAAAGAAUUUAACUGAAAUAUGAAGUUUUAUAAAUAUUUCAUGAAGCUUGAGAAAAUCCUGAACCUUAACUAUGAUGACUCAGCAUAAAUUCACAGUUUACAGUAUGCAUGGUUUACUUAAAGCCCUGAAUUCAAAAUAAAUUCAUAAUAUAUGCCUAUUUGUAAUUUAAAUUGUUUAGAAGUGCUUAUAUUUACUCUUCGCAGUCAUUGCAACUCAUUGAUCCUUCUUAAAUAUUUUUGUUGGGGUGUUUUUGUCCUGUCGAUAACCCAAAAGUAAGCCGUAACACCUAAAUGUGCUUUUUUGUGACCGGGACAUUAAAAAGUACAAGCUAGAAUUACAAAAGACCUCAAUAAAACUUACAACAGUGUGUUCUAUCCUAAAUAUAUACUAAAUAUUCCACAUUGCUAGAAACAGGGAAAAUAUUUAGGAAAUGUGAGGCCCCAGGGACAAAAAACAGAAAAAAAUGCCUACCCCUGGGUCAUAAAACAGAUAAUUUAACUUGUAAAUGCUAUGAUUUUAUUAUUUUCAAGGUCUUUUGUAAAGAAAACAAUAACUGUGCUGGGAAGUUAUGCAAAAAUAAGACGUAAGCAUCAUUUCUAUCAAACUUUUAGUGAAUUUAUGCACCAGACUGAUAUCUUCUUAAAUACAACUUUUGCAAAUUUGGCUUUGUUUAGACAAUUCUAGUUCAUAUAUUAACUAACUUAUGUUAGAUAUAUGGUUAGGGAUGAUACUGUUGAGACAAGAAUUCUUAACUGACCAUUUGAGACAGAAAUUAUGAACUUUCAUUGACAAAUAGGCAUUCAGUAAGAUGUGGACUGGAGACACAGGCAGGAUUGGAUACUUUGUAUAAUCUUGAAAGUUGGAAUGAUUAACUACUAAACAAUACACUUAUAGUAUAACAACAUGCUUUCAAUUUGUUAUCAGAAUAGUUUCAAACAGGUUUAAGACAGUUCAUGUCAGAAAACAUGCACAUAGGGUAAGCUAGCAAUAAUUAAAGUCUUGUUUUCAAAUUCUUUAAAAUAUUGAAACAGGGGUAGGGGUAUAAAAUGUACUGUAAAAGGAAACUUAGAGUAUAUGCAGUGAUUUCUUUAAGGCUAUAAUUCUGAUAAAUAAGUAUUGUUGUGAGAAAAAGUGUUUUUAGAGAGUUUUCUAUUUGAAUAAAUGUUUGUAUAGGUUGCACUUUGUAAAUACAACUGUUUCUCAAACCACGCCUCUUUUGGGGAGAUAUAUAAUAUUCAUAGAUAUGUUAAUUUGUUAACGUACUGGUUCCCAUUUAUGAUUUCUGUGUUUCAUCUCAUAGAGACAUCACUUGGGAAUGUAACCAGUAUAGAAAAACAUGGUAGCGCCAAAAUUUUAAUUCUUAGGAGGUCCAAAUAUGGAGGUAAGGGUAGUAUAGAAUUUUAGUACAAGUUUAAACUCUUAGAAGUUCAGGGCAUAUACAUGUUGAAAAUAUGCCGCACAGCCCUAUAUUUUGACCUUUGAAUAAAAUAGUAGUGCAUAUAAACUUUCCGUUCUGGGAUAUUAUUUUUCACGAAACUUCAUAGUAAAAGUGUCACAGUUUCAGCCGCAAAGGGAGUUCCUAUGGGAAAUUGCAUUGUCUAUAUUUACAGAAUUGCAACCUAUAUAGGGUUAAAAAAUAGAACAUACAGAUUUUCACAAAAUCUGGUUUAUCUCAGAGAUUUUAAAGAAUUUAACUGAAAUAUGAAGUUUUAUAAAUAUUUCAUGAAGCUUGAGAAAAUCCUGAGCCUUAACUAUGAUGACUCAGCAUAAAUUCACAGUUUACAGUAUGCAUGGUUUACUUAAAGCCCUGAAUUCAAAAUAAAUUCAUAAUAUAUGCCUAUUUGUAAUUUAAAUUGUUUAGAAGUGCUUAUAUUUACUCUUCGCAGUCAUUGCAACUCAUUGAUCCUUCUUAAAUAUUUUUGUUGGGGUGUUUUUGUCCUGUCGAUAACCCAAAAGUAAGCCGUAACACCUAAAUGUGCUUUUUUGUGACCGGGACAUUAAAAAGUACAAGCUAGAAUUACAAAAGACCUCAAUAAAACUUACAACAGUGUGUUCUAUCCUAAAUAUAUACUAAAUAUUCCACAUUGCUAGAAACAGGGAAAAUAUUUAGGAAAUGUGAGGCCCCAGGGACAAAAAACAGAAAAAAAUGCCUACCCCUGAGUCAUAAAACAGAUAAUUUAACUUGUAAAUGCUAUGAUUUUAUUAUUUUCAAGGUCUUUUGUAAAGAAAACAAUAACUGUGCUGGGAAGUUAUGCAAAAAUAAGACGUAAGCAUCAUUUCUAUCAAACUUUUAGUGAAUUUAUGCACCAGACUGAUAUCUUCUUAAAUACAACUUUUGCAAAUUUGGCUUUGUUUAGACAAUUCUAGUUCAUAUAUUAACUAACUUAUGUUAGAUAUAUGGUUAGGGAUGAUACUGUUGAGACAAGAAUUCUUAACUGACCAUUUGAGACAGAAAUUAUGAACUUUCAUUGACAAAUAGGCAUUCAGUAAGAUGUGGACUGGAGACACAGGCAGGAUUGGAUACUUUGUAUAAUCUUGAAAGUUGGAAUGAUUAACUACUAAACAAUACACUUAUAGUAUAACAACAUGCUUUCAAUUUGUUAUCAGAAUAGUUUCAAACAGGUUUAAGACAGUUCAUGUCAGAAAACAUGCACAUAGGGUAAGCUGGCAAUAAUUAAAGUCUUGUUUUCAAAUUCUUUAAAAUAUUGAAACAGGGGUAGGGGUAUAAAAUGUACUGUAAAAGGAAACUUAGAGUAUAUGCAGUGAUUUCUUUAAGGCUAUAAUUCUGAUAAAUAAGUAUUGUUGUGAGAAAAAGUGUUUUUAGAGAGUUUUCUAUUUGAAUAAAUGUUUGUAUAGGUUGCACUUUGUAAAUACAACUGUUUCUCAAACCACGCCUCUUUUGGGGAGAUAUAUAAUAUUCAUAGAUAUGUUAAUUUGUUAACGUACUGGUUCCCAUUUAUGAUUUCUGUGUUUCAUCUCAUAGAGACAUCACUUGGGAAUGUAACCAGUAUAGAAAAACAUGGUAGCGCCAAAAUUUUAAUUCUUAGGAGGUCCAAAUAUGGAGGUAAGGGUAGUAUAGAAUUUUAGUACAAGUUUAAACUCUUAGAAGUUCAGGGCAUAUACAUGUUGAAAAUAUGCCGCACAGCCCUAUAUUUUGACCUUUGAAUAAAAUAGUAGUGCAUAUAAACUUUCCGUUCUGGGAUAUUAUUUUUCACGAAACUUCAUAGUAAAGGUGUCACAGUUUCAGCCGCAAAGGGAGUUCCUAUGGGAAAUUGCAUUGUCUAUAUUUACAGAAUUGCAA
Long non-coding RNA from Mytilus californianus (California mussel), 5494 nucleotides. RefSeq lists it as uncharacterized. The record is from RefSeq and is a predicted model, not a curated record. The transcript has 4 exons. Lineage: Eukaryota; Metazoa; Mollusca; Bivalvia; Mytilida; Mytilidae.